AGUGAACGCUGGCGGUAGGCCUAACACAUGCAAGUCGAACGGCAGCACAGUAAGAGCUUGCUCUUACGGGUGGCGAGUGGCGGACGGGUGAGGAAUACAUCGGAAUCUACUUUUUCGUGGGGGAUAACGUAGGGAAACUUACGGUAAUACCGCAUACGAACUACGGGUGAAAGCAGGGGAUCUUCGGACCUUGCGCGAUUGAAUGAGCCGAUGUCGGAUUAGCUAGUUGGCGGGGUAAAGGCCCACCAAGGCGACGAUCCGUAGCUGGUCUGAGAGGAUGAUCAGCCACACUGGAACUGAGACACGGUCCAGACUCCUACGGGAGGCAGCAGUGGGGAAUAUUGGACAAUGGGCGCAAGCCUGAUCCAGCCAUACCGCGUGGGUGAAGAAGGCCUUCGGGUUGUAAAGCCCUUUUGUUGGGAAAGAAAAGCAGCAGGUUAAUACCCCGCUGUUCUGACGGUACCCAAAGAAUAAGCACCGGCUAACUUCGUG
RNAcentral lists this ribosomal RNA (492 nucleotides) under uncultured bacterium. RNAcentral's name for it is "partial 16S ribosomal RNA". It matches the Rfam family "Bacterial small subunit ribosomal RNA", at positions 29 to 507 of the family's 1533-position model. The record is from RNAcentral.